RNAcentral lists this ribosomal RNA (494 nucleotides) under uncultured bacterium. RNAcentral describes it as "partial 16S ribosomal RNA". It matches the Rfam family "Bacterial small subunit ribosomal RNA", at positions 28 to 507 of the family's 1533-position model. The record is from RNAcentral.
GACGAACGCUGGCGGCGUGCUUAACACAUGCAAGUCGAACGGUGAAGCGCCUUCCUUUUUGGUGGGUGUGGAUGAGUGGCGAACGGGUGAGUAACACGUGAGUAACCUGCCCCCUUCUUCUGGAUAACCGCAUGAAAGUGUGGCUAAUACGGGAUAUUCUGGGUCUGUCGCAUGAUGGGUCUGGGAAAGAUAUUGUUUCGGUGGGGGAUGGGCUCGCGGCCUAUCAGCUUGUUGGUGGGGUGAUGGCCUACCAAGGCGGUGACGGGUAGCCGGCCUGAGAGGGUGGACGGUCCCACUGGGACUGAGACACGGCCCAGCCUCCUACGGGAGGCAGCAGUGGGGAAUAUUGCACAAUGGGCGCAAGCCUGAUGCAGCGACGCCGCGUGAGGGAUGGAGGCCUUCGGGUUGUGAACCUCUUUCGCCAGUGAAGCAGGCCUGCCUCGUUUGUGGGUGGGUUGACGGUAGCUGGAUAAGAAGCGCCGGCUAACUACGUG